AUUUCUUUCUGACUGAGUUCAGAAAGAAGUAUAUUAGUCAUAUAUACUUAGAGGCCCGAAGGAGAGAGUUUCUGACCUUGAGGCAGAGACAAUUAACGGUCUCUGAGUAUGAGAGGGAGUUUGUGAGGCUGGGUAGAUAUGCAAGGGAGGUAAUGCCUACAGAGGUAGAGAGGUGUCGUAGGUUCGAGGAUGGACUGAACGAUAAUAUCAGAAUUAUAGUGAUGGCACAUGGGUAUACGGAUUUCUCCCGGCUAGUGGCUGCAUCACUUAAUGUAGAGAGAGUACGAAAUAAGGAGCAGUCUAGGAGAGAUAGACAGCGAAAGAGGAGUUCUGGACAAGGUCAGUCCAGUACACCAGUUUCUGAGGGUAAGAGGCCCAAGGUUUCCCAGGGCCAGGGGCCAGAGACAGGGGUCUCAGUUUACUCAGAGAGGAGGACAGUCCAGAGCAUCAGUGGGGAGUUCUCCAGGCACCGCAGUAGAGGGAUUUACCUCCAUACCAUUAUGCACCUACUGUGAGAGGAGGCACCGAGGAGAGUGCCGAUUGUUGACUGGGGGAUGUUUCCGAUGAGGAGCUACA
Molecule: unclassified non-coding RNA, 576 nt
Filed under: Hevea brasiliensis (rubber tree)
Lineage: Eukaryota; Viridiplantae; Streptophyta; Magnoliopsida; Malpighiales; Euphorbiaceae
Source: RNAcentral